Long non-coding RNA from Ruditapes philippinarum (Manila clam), 1637 nucleotides. RefSeq lists it as uncharacterized. The transcript has 4 exons. The record is from RefSeq and is a predicted model, not a curated record. NCBI's taxonomy places the organism in Eukaryota, Metazoa, Mollusca, Bivalvia, Venerida, Veneridae.
UCUGAUAGUCUAGUCAUCGUAGAUUUAGACGUAGAAAAAAUUGCAAAAGAAAUGUUUUAAUGUCUAUCAAAUACAACUGUCGCCAAAAAACACUAUAUCAAAAGUUGCAUAAAAAAGUCCUUGCCCCUUCGCGGAUAAACGCAAAUGAUUUUAUUUUUAAAUCGGUAUUUUGAAGAUGUCCAUCCCUUUCCACCAUCGUGACGUAUUUUUAGCAGAGCGCAGGUACUACGUCAUCAAAAUGGCGGUUCAAUGACGAUAUUACUGCCCGGAUUUUUUUAAAACUACCCGUUUUGUAAGAAGAUGUUUUGAAAAGGUAAACUUUAAUGUUUAAAUUGUUUUAUUUAUUCACUUUAAGCAGUAUGUGUACUUUAUUAGGGCCAGAGAACAUUUUAAAACUUCAAAAAUAUGAAAAAUACUCGAGCAAACUUGGAAUCAUGAAAAGUCACAGGAUUUUGCUUUUUUAGCUAUUUGUUGUGUUUUUUAAAAGAAAGAAGGGAAAUGUGACCAGAGCUUGAACAUAUAAAACUUAUCGCAACUCUUAAAUUAAAAAAAAAUAAUGAGAAAACAAUAUUUUUAAAUGAAAUUCUGUCUGAUUUUUUUUCCUACGGAAGCGCAUAAGGACCAUAAUUACAAGUAUUUUUUAUAAUAUUCAAACAAUUUAUAUCGAGAAUUUUUAGUUAAAAAUAAUUGUAUACGUAAUGUUUUAAAUGUUAAACGUAGAAAUAUUGUUUCAGGGUGAUACAUCUAGACUGUUUUGUUUGGUACAUCCAGAAUUUAUUGAAGGUGUGAGGCUUGAUCUGUUGUUUGUAUGUUGGGGAAUAAUGUUAUAAUACACUGAUUUCCAGAUUAAGAUAGGGCGAUACAUCUAGACUGUUUUGUUUGGUACAUCCAGAAUUUAUUGAAGGUGUGAGGCUUGAUCUGUUGUUUGUAUGUUGGGGAAUAAUGUUAUAAUACACUGAUUUCCAGAUUAAGAUAGGAAGGAGACUUACGAGGACUUACCAGCUUUUAUAAAGGACAAUGACACACAAAAGAAAGCCAGAUUGAUAACUUAUACAAUGGAUACGGCAUGUGCCAUUUGUAAAAAAAGUAUCGAAGAAGGCCAAGACGUUUCAUUAAUCGGCGAUAAAGGUAGCAAUGCAAUAAAUCAUAAGAGUAGCUUGAAAGGGGAUAAUAUUACAACACAGCCUGGUCAGCCCGUGCAUAAAGUUUGUCGGAGGGAUUACAUUAACAAGCGCCAAAGUGUUCUCACUCUACCUGGUAGCUUCAACUCUCCAAGAAGUUUGCGCCCCAUUACAUGUGUUUCAUUUGAUUAUAGAAACAAAUGCCUAUUUUGUUCAACUGAUGCAAAAAUUACAAACAGAAAACGUGGCCAUGAUGUAUUUCAAGUAAGAACUCUAGAUUUCCAAAAGGCAAUAGUGAAAAAAUGUGAAGAAAGAAAUGAUAACUGGUCUAUGACUGUGCUAGGUCGAAUCGAAAACAUUAUAGACUAACCAGCUGCAGAUGCAGUGUACCAUCAAACUUGUAAUGUAAAUUUUCGAACAGGCAGGUCAAUUCCCAAGCCUUUUGAGUCCGACGAUGUAAAGAAGAUUUUAUUGAGCGUUAAAAGUCCCGGGAGACAAAUAAAUGACAUACAAAAU